UAUUGGAAGGCGAAGACGGAAAGCAGUGCGGAUCCGCAGCGGACAAGGUCAUCUCAGCCUUUUUAUAAGAAAGCAGGAAGCAGCCAUGGUCUGACUGUUAAUUAAAGCUAGCAUCUAUGUGGUCAGGAAGAUCCGGGCUUCCAUCGCUGAGGGAGAGCAACUGGAAAAGCCCAUCAUAACACCAUGUAGUGCUAUUGCUGAAAUGAGAGCGGGACAAGCGUCGAGAGGAUAUGUCCCAGGUUCUGCACUGACCUGUGCACCUAAUGAAGGUGUCGGUGGAGCAGCAGGCUCUGGGACGUCCUCAGAGACAGCUGUGCAGAAAUGUGGCACCUGACGUUAAAGAUCACGCUGGACACUGGGACUGUGGUUACCUCCAUGGAAAAAUAUCACUGUCUUCUUUGUAUUUUUGCUUUACACACAACAGUAAUACACUAUCAGGGGGGAUUGUAUAUGCAGAACCAUCAACAUACAAAGAUGUUAAUUUUAUCAAAGCAAAAAUUGAACACUUAUGUAGAACAUUAUUCUACUGCUUUCUAGUGUCCAGGCUGUACUCAGUGAUCCACGUCCAGCUCCUAAUGAAACACUUUUAGGCCUUUUUCACAGCAGACAUUUUGACUGACCAACUAAUCGCAUUAAUGAUGACUCUUUCCCAUUCAGGUUUGCUGGGGAGCUACACACAAUACCAUAGACACCUGAAUGUAAUCGAGACGUUUGUUUUUAAUGAAAUGUUGGUUAGUCAACAUGUUAUCUGUGAGAAAGGCCUAUAUUUAUGAACAGCAGUGUUUGAAGGCCGACUCAUCAACCUCUGUCCAGGGGCUGAGCAGGUCUGAUGUUUCUGCUUCUGUAUCAAUAAAAAAAACAAA
Molecule: long non-coding RNA, 863 nt
Organism: Chelmon rostratus (copperband butterflyfish)
Lineage: Eukaryota; Metazoa; Chordata; Actinopteri; Chaetodontiformes; Chaetodontidae
Exons: 3
Source: RefSeq, a predicted model, not a curated record